GUGUUUGCUUUGGCAGCACGUAUGCUAAAAUUGGAACGAUUCGGAGAGCAUGAGCAUGGUCCCUGUGCAAGGAUGACAUGCAAAUUCAUGAAGCUUCCAUAGUUUUG
This is a small nuclear RNA of Hippopotamus amphibius kiboko, 107 nucleotides long. Lineage: Eukaryota; Metazoa; Chordata; Mammalia; Artiodactyla; Hippopotamidae. The record is from RefSeq and is a predicted model, not a curated record.